RNAcentral lists this ribosomal RNA (253 nucleotides) under uncultured bacterium. RNAcentral's name for it is "partial 16S ribosomal RNA". It matches the Rfam family "Bacterial small subunit ribosomal RNA", at positions 524 to 776 of the family's 1533-position model. The record is from RNAcentral.
UACGGAGGGUGCGAGCGUUGUUCGGAAUCACUGGGCGUAAAGCGCGUGUAGGCGGCCUCUUAAGUCUGAUGUGAAAGCCCGGGGCUCACCCCCGGAAGUGCAUUGGAUACUGGGGGGCUGGAGUACCGGAGAGGAGGGUGGAAUUCCUGGUGUAGCGGUGAAAUGCGUAGAUAUCAGGAGGAACACCGGUGGCGAAGGCGGCUCACGGGCCCGAUAAUGACGCUGAGGUGCGACAGCGUGGGGAGCAAACAGG